GGGCCGUUAGCUCAGUUGGUCAGAGCACCGGACUCAUAAUCCGAGGGUCGCAGGUUCAAGUCCUGCACGGCCCA
This 74-nucleotide transfer RNA is filed under the name Gemmatimonadota bacterium. Its description in RNAcentral is "Gemmatimonadetes bacterium (soil metagenome) tRNA-Ile". It matches the Rfam family "tRNA". From Rfam's summary of the family: Transfer RNA (tRNA) molecules are approximately 80 nucleotides in length. Their secondary structure includes four short double-helical elements and three loops (D, anti-codon, and T loops). RNAcentral also lists the same sequence under 2 other names. The record is from RNAcentral. Lineage: Bacteria; Pseudomonadati; Gemmatimonadota.